This 253-nucleotide ribosomal RNA is filed under the name uncultured bacterium. Its description in RNAcentral is "partial 16S ribosomal RNA". It matches the Rfam family "Bacterial small subunit ribosomal RNA", at positions 524 to 776 of the family's 1533-position model. The record is from RNAcentral.
UACGUAGGCAGCGAGCGUUGUUCGGAAUUACUGGGCGUAAAGAGUGUGUAGGCGGUGCUCCCAGUCUGUUGUGAAAUCUCCCGGCUUAACUGGGAGGGUGCAGCGGAAACUAGAGUGCUAGAGGGUGGGAGAGGUAAGCGGAAUUCCUGGUGUAGCGGUGAAAUGCGUAGAUAUCAGGAGGAACACCUGUGGUGUAGACGGCUUUCUGGACCAUUGUUGACGCUGAGACACGAAAGCGUGGGUAGCAAACAGG